Long non-coding RNA from Cercocebus atys (sooty mangabey), 444 nucleotides. RefSeq lists it as uncharacterized. The transcript has 3 exons. Lineage: Eukaryota; Metazoa; Chordata; Mammalia; Primates; Cercopithecidae. The record is from RefSeq and is a predicted model, not a curated record.
UUAUGGCUUCUCUUUGGCAUAUCUGAAUUGCCACCAUCACUACUCUCGAUAAUUGAGAACAUUAUUGAGCAAAACAAGGAUUACUUGAACACAAGCCCUGCAAUACUUCCACAGUGAAUCUGAUAACCAAGAUGGCUACUAAGGGACUAAUGGGUGAGGACUUGUAGACAGCGUGGCGACGCUGGACAAAGGAAUGAUGCAUGACCCAGGUUUUCUCGGAGCACUUCGAAGCUGUAUAUGAAAGCUGAAUUGGCACGUCUAAAGGAUCCCAGUGUGAGUGAGCCAGCAUGUCUGGUGGGGUUACCGACUGGUUCCCCAAGUUUCUGGGAUGGGCUUUGGCAAUCUGGGACCCUGGAAUAAUUAGUUUAUCUGCAUCUCAUUAUUGGGCCACAAGUAAAAGCAGCCCACCCCUCAAUUUGGUCGGGAACACUGCUACACUGGCAA